AUGGCUAGGGUUUCGGGCAGGGCUUCGCCGGCGCGUCUCCGGCGGCCCAGGUUCGUCCCUCCUUCCUUCUUGGCUGGGAUCCACCACCCCUACACCUCACAUUCUCUUCAUGUCCUCUGCUGCAGAUGCAGAUGGAGCACGCCAUGGGAAUUCCCCAUCCACCAUGGUCGCCGCCAUCAAGGGCUUCUUCACGGAGAUGUGGAGGACGCCAUGGACCUGCAGCUCCAAGAUGACGCCUCUGCUACACCAAGAUAG
RNAcentral lists this ribosomal RNA (255 nucleotides) under Triticum aestivum (bread wheat). RNAcentral's name for it is "partial small subunit ribosomal RNA". The record is from RNAcentral. Lineage: Eukaryota; Viridiplantae; Streptophyta; Magnoliopsida; Poales; Poaceae.